UUAAUACUCCAUCCGUCCCGAAUUACUUAUCGCAGAAAUGAAUGUAUCUAGAUGUAUUUUCGUACUAGAUACAUUCAUUUCUAUGUAUUUAUGCGACAAGUAAUUCGGGACGAAUGGAGUAGUAA
Molecule: non-coding RNA, 125 nt
Organism: Triticum aestivum (bread wheat)
Lineage: Eukaryota; Viridiplantae; Streptophyta; Magnoliopsida; Poales; Poaceae
Source: Rfam